Molecule: long non-coding RNA, 1628 nt
Filed under: Amphibalanus amphitrite
Lineage: Eukaryota; Metazoa; Arthropoda; Thecostraca; Balanomorpha; Balanidae
Description: uncharacterized LOC122379310
Source: RNAcentral
GUUCCUGCUAAUGAUGCAUCCGCUUUAAUACUUCUGCGUUUGCAGGCGUGAUUCGAUGUUUGAUUGGUCCAGAGCAGCUCAGAUUCGGAGCAACAACAGCUUGACAAACAUUUUUCGUCUUUGUUGUGCAUUGUCAUGCAUUGUAUUGUCAUGGAUGGAGGUUCUUUCAUCCAUGGUAUUGUAAUAUAUACACUUGGUUUAAAUUUAAUUUGAUUUGAUAAAUUUGAGCCUAUUCUUAGUGAUAUGGGAGUUGUCUUGCAAGUACCCAUAAGCCCAAAUAUAUAUUUUUCAGUGAAAAGUAACAUUAUGAAAAAGUUGAUGCUGGAUGGUUUAAGAAAAUGCCUUAUGGUCAAAGUCGUGUGUACUGUGUUCCUUACAUCAAGCACUGAAAGCAUCACCGUGAAGAGACAAGGGUCAAGGAAUGAGGUGUUUGUGUGGAAAUCCCAUUACACCAUCAAGAGGGAGACCGCACUGACAGGGGUCCAAGAUCCAUCUCAGGCCCUACUGUAGACUGCCCGUCAGCAGACGGAGGCCCACCGACGGACGUCGGCUCAAUGGCCAACAGUGGCCCGCCGGCCGGCUGACGGUGGCUCGCCGACCGACGCCGGCCCGUCGGCCGACCACGGCCCUCCGGCUGAUGGUGGCCCGCCAGCUGACGGAGGUCCGCCGGCCAUUCGUAGCACGCCCGCCGACGGCAGCUCGACGCACAUCCUGGCCUUAACUAUGGCUAUGUCACCCCCAAGAUUAGUUCGCCCCCCCCCCCCAGUCCCUAGGUCACCAGUUGCGGGCGCUCCAUCUGACGGUGUCGUCCGACGGCUCCACGGUGACCAGCGCCGCCACUGCGGAAACCAUCGGACCCCGAAAAUGCUGCUAGCCGUACACGAACAAAAGGCGCCAGGCACCCAGGACCAGCGCCCUGCUCCGAGGCGGUAUCCAAAGAAGGCCGCAUAGUGCACUUGCUGUGCUAAGGCAUAGUGCGCGCUGACUGAUAGGAACAAAUGACGGUCAGUUAUCAGAUCUCAGUAUGGAACUCAAGAUAGUCGGAGCCGACCUGGCCCGGUGGAUGGUGUGCCAGGGUUGAUUAAGUGUCGAAAGGAGUGAGACGCCCAGAUAUGUGAAGGAUACGUCGAUACGAGCCCCGGCUUCGACUCCCCGUCCCAAAACGAUGUUGGCUGUGAUUGGAGUUUGGUAUCUUUACGGAUUCCCCCCCACCCCCACCCCGGAAUUUGUGCUAUGUAAUAGGACGAUAAUAUGUCGUGGUCUCAUUUUGGCUCCAUAUGGUAAUAGGUACUUAAUUGGACAGAUGUUGAUGGUAUUGGUGGUGGAUGUAAAUGACAGGUUUGGCGAGCGCGAAUUAGUAAUCGUGAGUGCACUAGCUGCAAUCAGUCGCGCGCUUAUUGCUGAGCACCUGUGAGCAAGAAAAUGGUAUGAAAGUGGUAGUUCGUCGUGAAAUCUGUGUACUUUUGGAUUAGGUUUUCAGAACAGAAGUGUAUUUUUGCCGUGUCCACUGCAGCUCUGGAACAGAAACAUAGAGAUCGGUUGUGUGCUGUAGCAGGGGCAAGUAGUCCGUGCCAAAAAAAAAUCAAAGGUGAUAUGUGAAUUUAAGUGAAUAUACCUCGCUUUAUUUU